Molecule: unclassified non-coding RNA, 260 nt
Filed under: uncultured Sordariomycetes
Lineage: Eukaryota; Fungi; Ascomycota; Sordariomycetes
Description: sequence contains 5.8S rRNA gene, ITS2, 28S rRNA gene
Source: RNAcentral
AACGCACAUUGCGCCCAUUAGUAUUCUAGUGGGCAUGCCUGUUCGAGCGUCAUUUCAACCCUCAAGCCUCAGCUGCUUGGUGUUGGGGUUCCCUGUAAUGAUUUGCAGGCCCCGAAAUACAGUGGCGGGCUCUCCAGGAUUCCGAGCGCAGUAGAAUCUCUUCGCUUUAGGGCGCCUGGCGAGUUUUCCGGCCGUAAAACUCCCCACUAUAAAAUCACAAGGUUGACCUCGGAUCAGGUAGGAAUACCCGCUGAACUUAA